This 596-nucleotide ribosomal RNA is filed under the name uncultured bacterium. RNAcentral describes it as "bacterial SSU rRNA". It matches the Rfam family "Bacterial small subunit ribosomal RNA", at positions 353 to 963 of the family's 1533-position model. The record is from RNAcentral.
AGUGGGGAAUUUUGGACAAUGGGGGAAACCCUGAUCCAGCGACGCCGCGUGAAGGAUGAAGGCCUUCGGGUUGUAAACUUCUUUUGGAGGGGACGAAUAAAUUGACGGUACCCUCAGAAAAAGCCACGGCUAACUACGUGCCAGCAGCCGCGGUAAUACGUAGGUGGCGAGCGUUACUCGGAAUUACUAGGCGUAAAGCGUAUGUAGGCGGUUGUAUAAGUCUAUGGUGAAAUUUCCUGGCUCAACUGGGAAGGGACAUAGAUACUGUAUGGCUUGAGUGUUGGAGGGGGAGACGGAAUUCCUGGUGUAGCGGUGAAAUGCGUAGAUAUCAGGAGGAACACCGAUGGCGAAAGCAGUCUCCUGGCCAAAUACUGACGCUGAGGUACGAAAGCUAGGGUAGCAAACAGGAUUAGAUACCCUGGUAGUCCUAGCUGUAAACGAUGUUCACUAGAUGUGGGAGGUAUCGACCCCUUCCGCGUCGACGCUAACGCAUUAAGUGAACCGCCUGGGGAGUACGGCCGCAAGGUUGAAACUCAAAGGAAUUGACGGGGGCCCGCACAAGCGGUGGAGUAUGUGGUUUAAUUCGACGCAACGCG